Molecule: non-coding RNA, 109 nt
Filed under: Chloropicon mariensis
Lineage: Eukaryota; Viridiplantae; Chlorophyta; Chloropicophyceae; Chloropicales; Chloropicaceae
Source: RNAcentral
UAGAAGGAAAAAAAGUAUAACUCGCUUAUUCUUUUUUCUUUUUCAUAGAUUUUGAAUCUUGUUUUCUGUCAAAACGUUCCUUACAAGUCACUUUUUUCAUAUAUAUACA